UGGGGAAUAUUGGACAAUGGGCGAAAGCCCGAUCCAGCCAUGCCGCGUGUGUGAAGAAGGUCUUCGGAUUGUAAAGCACUUUAAGUUGGGAGGAAGGGCAGUUACCUAAUACGUAAUUGUUUUGACGUUACCGACAGAAUAAGCACCGGCUAACUCUGUG
RNAcentral lists this ribosomal RNA (160 nucleotides) under uncultured bacterium. RNAcentral's name for it is "partial 16S ribosomal RNA". It matches the Rfam family "Bacterial small subunit ribosomal RNA", at positions 355 to 507 of the family's 1533-position model. The record is from RNAcentral.